This 490-nucleotide ribosomal RNA is filed under the name uncultured bacterium. RNAcentral's name for it is "partial 16S ribosomal RNA". It matches the Rfam family "Bacterial small subunit ribosomal RNA", at positions 30 to 507 of the family's 1533-position model. The record is from RNAcentral.
AUUGAACGCUGGCGGCAGGCCUAACACAUGCAAGUCGAACGGUAACAGGAAACAGCUUGCUGUUUCGCUGACGAGUGGCGGACGGGUGAGUAAUGUCUGGGAAACUGCCUGAUGGAGGGGGAUAACUACUGGAAACGGUAGCUAAUACCGCAUAACGUCGCAAGACCAAAGAGGGGGACCUUCGGGCCUCUUGCCAUCGGCUGUGCCCAGGUGGGAUUAGCUAGUAGGUGGGGUAACGGCUCACCGAGGCGACGAUCCCUAGCGGGUCUGAGAGGAUGACCAGCCACACUGGAACUGAGACACGGUCCAGACUCCUACGGGAGGCAGCAGUGGGGAAUAUUGCACAAUGGGCGCAAGCCUGAUGCAGCAAUGCCGCGUGUAUGAAGAAGGCCUUCGGGUUGUAAAGUACUUUCAGCGGGGAGGAAGGGAGUAAAGUUAAUACCUUUACUCAUUGACGUUACCCGAAGAAGAAGCACCGGCUAACUCCGUG